RNAcentral lists this small nucleolar RNA (146 nucleotides) under Ogataea parapolymorpha DL-1. RNAcentral describes it as "Small nucleolar RNA snR8". It matches the Rfam family "Small nucleolar RNA snR8". The record is from Rfam by way of RNAcentral. Lineage: Eukaryota; Fungi; Ascomycota; Pichiomycetes; Pichiales; Pichiaceae.
UUGAACUUCGAUACGAACGCAGCCUAUUCACUGCACCGUCCAGCGUGGACGAGUGGAGGGGAAAAGGUUGCCAGAUCAACGCGGCAACAUCUCAUAAACUGUCUCGCGCGCCAUGCGAGACGGGCUACUAAGUUUCUGCGACAACU